UUCAAGCCUUCUACUUAAAUUUUCAAUAAUCAAUACAAUUUUCAAUUGCUUUAAUUGUUCAGUUUAAGUGAGAUUUUAACUAAAUUGCGUUCAGUUUAGUCAGAUUCCCACAACCGUUUGAGAGAAAUCAGAAAAGCUCGCAGUUAAUACACUCAGUAUCUGGCAUACUCACAAUUCUUAAACGAUUAGCCAGCCAAAUUGUUUUCUAACGAAAUAAGUUUUGGCAUGCUCGGUGGGAUAAAAUUUCAUCUCAAUACACAUCAUCACUGUUCUUAGCCAAAAAUUAGCAAAUAAUUUUUGGCACGUCUAGUGAGAUGAUUCUCAUGCUUCACUGUCAUUCACGUUCUUGAUGAGGCAUUACAAAAUGCCUUAUAGUGAUGAAGAAAAACUCGUGUCAACCAUUGCUGAUGCCUUAAAAAAAGGCAUAGGAAGGCAGAUGGAUAUAGCUCUUAAUAAAAUUAAUGCAAAUACGAAGAAGAUUAUUUUGCUGACUCAAUCAUUGGCUGAAAAGUUUAAUUUGCAUAUCCUGUUACCUUCUGAUGGCCAUGUCUCUAAGCCAGAAGAGUCUUAUGUGGUACCCAGAGGUGCUAAAGAGCCCAAGAGGCAGAUCUAGUCCCAUACUUCUCAAGGCAGUGUUGAGGGAAGUCAGCGAGGAAAGAUACCAGCCACUCACAAGAGAGAGGAAUAGAUGGCUAAGCAACCAAGAAUACUAGUUCAAUUCAGCCACCCCAAUGGCAAAACUGUUGUUCCUACCCAAGUUUUCAGUAACACUAACCUGACCACUUAUGUUAGUAUUUAUGAUGCAAAGGUAGUUAUAGGUCCUCAAGUGGUACUAGCCCCUCAGCAGGUGCAAACUCCCCAGGUGACCUUUGGCUCACCAAUCCCUCAGAUGGUGGCACCUAUAGCUCUAAUUCCAGUGGUACCAACAAUUCCUUAAGUGACUCAAGACUCAGGAGGCAACAAUCAUGAAGGAACUAAAAUAUCUAUAAUGCAGGUAUCUCAACCAACUGCACCGGUGUCCCAGGUGAUAGAGGAAAAUUUUGGUGGUCAAGUUUCUACAGCUUCUAAUGAUCAAUUCCUUAAGCUGGAGGAGCCCAACUUGACUUCUAUGAAUAUUAGAGAACUCAGGGGGCACCAGCCUAAAAUUUUCCCAGGGGGCAAUAUAAGAGGAAUCAAUGUUCUCACAGUUCAAAUUGCUUUUAUGACAAUUACAAUUGCUUCAGUUUUUAAGGUAACAGUUCAAAUGACACGAUUCUGCAAGUCCAAAGUCAUUGCACCUUGUAGGAAAUUGAUGGGAUAACUCUGAGCGUAAAAUAACCAAGGUUGACCCACAGCCUCAAAUAGUUGACUUUACGGCUUUUUCUAAGAACCUGCACUUGACGAGAAAGAGCUAGGAAUACCAUUGCUGAAAGGAGAAACCCGUGGUACUGCUAAUGGUACCUGCGGAGCUGCUGGUACCAAGGUACCGAUUAGUACUUAUGAACCAGAAGAGUCCGAUGCCAUAACUGCAAAUACAAGGGGCAGAGUGAGCAUUACCAAGCAACAAAAGUUAAGUAAGAAACGCAGACAUACAAGUUCUACAAUACUUAUAUUUAACAAAUGUAGGCAAUUGGCAGUUACCGACUCCAAGACUGACUAGUAAAUUAGUAGGUACUAGCUGGAGGUACCAACCUACACAUCACAGGUUUUGACCAACACAUUAGCAGGUACCAUUUGCGGAUAUUGACCUACAAACCAUAAGUACCGACUGCAGGUACCAAUUAACACUUUAUAGGCACCAACUAAUAUACUAUAGAUACCAAUCAAUAUUCUGCACGUACCUGAGUAGGUACCUGCGAAAUCAACAAUUCUAGAAGGUGAAUUAAUAAUUCCAAAAGUAAUCAACAUAGCCCAAUCACAUUCUCAAUCAUCAUUGAAUAUCAAAAAUCUCAAAGCUACUAAUUCAAGCAAGAAUGGCAAGAAGACCGUGAGAAAUUGCAACAAAGUGCAAGAUAGAAGGAAAAUAUCAAUCGAAGUAAUGAGAUGGUCAAUCGGCAUGCAUGAAUGGUUGAUGAGUGAUGAAGACUUCGAUGGUGAUUGGCGUUGGUGAAUGGCUAAGACGUAAGUGAAUCGGCGAUGGAGCAAUGCUGGCGUGAAGGAGCACCAAGGGAUUAGCAAUGGUAAUCACACAAGAGAAGAAGAAAAGAAGAAGAAGAAGAGAAAGUAUGGCACGUCGAAUGGGAGAAAGAGAGAGGAGAGAAAGAAAAAGAGAGAGAUGGCAUGGAAGAAUUUCUGAGAGGGAUAUCCAACAGAGAUAGAUUAAUAAGAUAAAAUAGAGAAAGAAUAACAGAGAAUCAAAGAAUUAUAAGUACAGCAAAAUAAUUAAAACAAAAGCAUAAAGAUUAAAUUAAACAAAACAAAUUAAACUAGGGCGGUAGAACUAAUCACAAAUAUAGGUAUAAGAUUAAAAGAUAUAGAAAGCAAAACAGAUAAAGAUAGAAUUAUAAGAAAAUAGUUUUUAUUGAAGCUCUAAUAUCGGUUACUUACAAGAAGAUAAGAAUUAUGGGGAGAAAAGAAGAGGUAACCGAAACAAUAACUUUCAAAAUGAAGUAGAGCGCCUCUUCCUUUUAUACAUGAAGGAAAGAGGUUUACAAUCAUUACAAGUUACUAUUGAAGCUAUUAUUACACAUGUGAAAGUUAAAAGAUGUCGAAAGUUGAGUGAUGAUUGCUGCAAGUUGAGUGGAAAAUGUCAAAAGUUGUUGCAAGU
Molecule: unclassified non-coding RNA, 2746 nt
Filed under: Hevea brasiliensis (rubber tree)
Lineage: Eukaryota; Viridiplantae; Streptophyta; Magnoliopsida; Malpighiales; Euphorbiaceae
Source: RNAcentral